GUGGGGAAUCUUAGACAAUGGGGGAAACCCUGAUCUAGCCAUGCCGCGUGAGCGAUGAAGGCCUUAGGGUUGUAAAGCUCUUUCAGCUGGGAAGAUAAUGACGGUACCAGCAGAAGAAGCCCCGGCUAACUCCGUGCCAGCAGCCGCGGUAAUACGGAGGGGGCUAGCGUUGUUCGGAAUUACUGGGCGUAAAGCGCGCGUAGGCGGACCAGAGAGUUGGAGGUGAAAUCCCAGGGCUCAACCUUGGAACUGCCUUCAAAACUCCUGGUCUGGAGUUCGAGAGAGGUGAGUGGAAUUCCGAGUGUAGAGGUGAAAUGCGUAGAUAUUAGGAGGAACACCAGUGGCGAAGGCGGCUCACUGGACCGUUGUUGACGCUGAGGUGCGAAAGCGUGGGGAGCAAACAGGAUUAGAAACCCCAGUAGUCC
RNAcentral lists this ribosomal RNA (425 nucleotides) under uncultured bacterium. RNAcentral describes it as "partial 16S ribosomal RNA". It matches the Rfam family "Bacterial small subunit ribosomal RNA", at positions 354 to 796 of the family's 1533-position model. The record is from RNAcentral.